RNAcentral lists this ribosomal RNA (1007 nucleotides) under uncultured Dechloromonas sp. RNAcentral's name for it is "bacterial SSU rRNA". It matches the Rfam family "Bacterial small subunit ribosomal RNA", at positions 372 to 1377 of the family's 1533-position model. The record is from RNAcentral. Lineage: Bacteria; Pseudomonadati; Pseudomonadota; Betaproteobacteria; Rhodocyclales; Azonexaceae.
UGGGCGCAAGCCUGAUCGCAGCGCAUGCCGCGUGAGUGAAGAAGGCCUUCGGGUUGUAAAGCUCUUUCGGCCGGGAAGAAAUCGCAUUGGUUAAUACCUGGUGUGGAUGACGGUACCGGAAUAAGAAGCACCGGCUAACUACGUGCCAGCAGCCGCGGUAAUACGUAGGGUGCGAGCGUUAAUCGGAAUUACUGGGCGUAAAGCGUGCGCAAGCGGUUUUGUAAGACAGGCGUGAAAUCCCCAGGCUCAACCUGGGAACUGCGCUUGUGACUGCAAGGCUAGAGUACGGCAGAGGGGGGUGGAAUUCCACGUGUAGCAGUGAAAUGCGUAGAGAUGUGGAGGAACACCAAUGGCGAAGGCAGCCCCCCUGGGUCGAUACUGACGCUCAUGCACGAAAGCGUGGGUAGCAAACAGGAUUAGAUACCCUGGUAGUCCACGCCCUAAACGAUGUCAACUAGGUGUUGGGAGGGUAAAACCUUUUAGUACCGGAGCUAACGCGUGAAGUUGACCGCCUGGGGAGUACGGCCGCAAGGUUAAAACUCAAAGGAAUUGACGGGGACCCGCACAAGCGGUGGAUGAUGUGGAUUAAUUCGAUGCAACGCGAAAAACCUUACCUACCCUUGACAUGUCAGGAAGUCUUGAGAGAUUGAGAUGUGCCCGAAAGGGAACCUGAACACAGGUGCUGCAUGGCUGUCGUCAGCUCGUGUCGUGAGAUGUUGGGUUAAGUCCCGCAACGAGCGCAACCCUUGUCGUUAAUUGCCAUCAUUUAGUUGGGCACUUUAGCGAGACUGCCGGUGACAAACCGGAGGAAGGUGGGGAUGACGUCAAGUCCUCAUGGCCUUAUGGGUAGGGCUUCACACGUCGUACAAUGGUCGGUACAAAGGGUCGCCCACCCGCGAGGGGGAGCCAAUCCAGAAAGCCGAUCGUAGUCGAUGCAGGCUGCAACUCCCUGCAUGAAGUCGGAAUCGCUAGUAAUCUGAUCAGCAUGUCACGGUGAUACGUCCCGG